Molecule: ribosomal RNA, 453 nt
Filed under: uncultured bacterium
Lineage: Bacteria
Description: bacterial SSU rRNA
Rfam family: Bacterial small subunit ribosomal RNA
Source: RNAcentral
UACGGAAGGCAGCAGUGGGGAAUAUUGCACAAUGGGCGCAAGCCUGAUGCAGCCAUGCCGCGUGUAUGAAGAAGGCCUUCGGGUUGUAAAGUACUUUCAGUCGUGAGGAGGGUGUUAAGGUUAAUAACCUUAGCAAUUGACGUUAGCGACAGAAGAAGCACCGGCUAACUCCGUGCCAGCAGCCGCGGUAAUACGGAGGGUGCGAGCGUUAAUCGGAAUUACUGGGCGUAAAGGGCACGCAGGCGGUUAAUUAAGUUGGAUGUGAAAUCCCCGGGCUUAACCUGGGAAUGGCAUUCAAGACUGGUUAGCUAGAGUCUUGUAGAGGGGGUAGAAUUCCAUGUGUAGCGGUGAAAUGCGUAGAGAUGUGGAGGAAUACCGGUGGCGAAGGCGGCCCCUGGGACAAGACUGACGCUCAUGUGCGAAAGCGUGGGGAGCAAACAGGGAUUAGAUACC